This 216-nucleotide ribosomal RNA is filed under the name Glomeromycotina sp. RNAcentral describes it as "partial small subunit ribosomal RNA". The stretch from base 44 to 216 matches the Rfam family "Eukaryotic small subunit ribosomal RNA", at positions 690 to 864 of the family's 1831-position model. The record is from RNAcentral. Lineage: Eukaryota; Fungi; Glomeromycota.
GGGUCAGUAGGUUGGUCGUGCCACCGGUACGGACUGGUCUCGCUGAUUCCUCCUUCCUGAAGAACCGUAAUGCCAUUAAUUUGGUGUUGCGGGGAAACAGGACUGUUACUUUGAAAAAAUUAGAGUGUUUAAAGCAAGCUAACGCUUGAAUACAUUAGCAUGGAAUAAUGAAAUAGGACGAUCGAUCCUAUUUUGUUGGUUUCUAGGAUUGACGUA